AGCCUGCCAGAGCCGAGGUAGCUGCCCUGCCAAGAGCUAUCCUGGGAGAGCUAUUGAAAGAGCCUUGAGUAAGUACACACGGGGCGGAUUUCUCCUCCCCUCAGUACCUGCUCCGCACCUGUACAGGGAACAGUCCCACACAUAUCACCUGAUCGCAGGCUUUUCAGAGACCGUGAGAAAAAUAAAGCCCAGGAUAGAAGAGAUGUUUGUUGUCUCUCUGGAGCUGCAGCCAGCUCCCUGCGGUCUGCGUCCCAGAAACAGCACAUUCCCCGCCGAUUGUGCGGCGGUGCACGCGUGUUUGCCGGCGCGCGUGCCCGGUGGGGAGGGGCGGGAGGGAAGCCAGGGAUCACCUGCCUGAUGACUGCCUCGCUGCCUGCGUGUUCUGGCAUCUGCCUGACGGGCAGUUUCAUGAUCCUUUACUAGAAUCAUUAUUGUGUGGUCCUUCUACUAGAUAAGCGUCCAUAUAUGCCCAUCACGGCAAAAUUCACAACCAGGAUUUCUUACCUUAAGAAGAACCCCCUACGCUGAACCUAAAAUAAUGCCCGAAAUGGAAUUCCGAAUGAAGCCUACAUGCACCUUUGGCAGUAGCUUAAUAUAUACUUUUUUGAAUGAAUGGAUCAAUGAAUGAGUGCAUGAUUUCUUCCUCAGGGGAGGGUCCAUAGCUUUCAGCAAAAUUUCAAAGCUUCUCCUGACCCUGAAAGGCGGAGGAAACUGAUCUAGACAAUCUCCACUUACAAGUCUGUACCUAAGCCCAGAGAGGGCAUGGGACUGGCUUAAGGGCCUACAGCAACGUAUGACCAGAGUGGGGGCCAGAAGCCGGCUCAGAGGCCUUUACCACACCACAGUGCUGCGGUCCAUGGGAAAUCUGGGGUGGGGUUUAUGGAGUUGUGAUCACCAACCACCAAAGCCUGGAUUUAAAGUGAUUAGGGGCACCUGGGUGGCUCAGCGGGUUGGGUGUCUGACUUUGACUCAUGAUCUCUUGGUUCAUGGGUUGGAGCCCCAUGUCUGGCUGUGCCGACAGCUCAGUCCUGGAGCCUGCUUCGGAUUCUGUGUCUCCCUCUCUCUGCCCCUCCCCCCGCUCAUGCUCUGUCUCUCCCUCUGUCUCUCUCUCAAAAAUAAACAUUCAGAAGAUUUUGAAGAAAAAAAAAUAGACACAUUAAUAAAGUGCUUUGAAUUUCCAGAACCUUUUUUUUUUUAAAUUCUGUGACGCUAGUGCUGCUCUGCCCCCAAUUUUUGCGUGGAGAAAGGGACAGGCAAGAAAGCCAAGUGUUUUUUAAGAGAAGAUGAUUCAGGAAUGCUUGGAACAAGAGUCCUGGUUGCCAUGAAGAGGCAUUAGAAACAACUGCGUCUGCAUUCCAUCUUUGAUAAAAAUAAGUUGCUACUUCUGAACAAAACUGCCGGGUCGGUCUCCAGCCGGGCUGGGACUUCGAACUGCAAAGGAGGUGGAGGCGGAAUACGGAAGCUUUGGACAUUGGCUAAUAGCAGCCUGUAAUGCUCUCUGCCCCCCACCCGCCUUGGAAAAACUUGAGUGAGCCAGUGAGAAUGUGCACUUUUCCAAUGGGCCCUGAAAAAGGAUGGUUGCCAAGAAAGCCUUUUCCAAUGGGGUGGGGGCAGGGCGCUCCAGAAUGGCUCCACUCCCACGUUUGGCUCCAGCAGCAGCAGCAGCAGCAGCCCCAGUAGCAGCAGUGAGCUGGGAAGGCUCUAAACGCCGCCGCUCACCUUUGCCCCCUGAGCAGGGCUGUGGUGAGGCGACCUGCAAGCCCAGAGACGAAAGAGAGAAAGAGCGCAUUCCCCAGGGGCCACAGGGAUGUUAACUUGCAGUUAAAGGCUCAGAACUGCACCAGGGCUGGUGCCCGAGGGGGUCUCUGGAAGGCUCAGGAAGGCGGGGUGAAGCCUGGCCCCUUUAAACCCAGGACCUGCAUUGUUUGGCUUGCUGAUAGCUGCUCAAAUUGUGACUUCGGAUCCAAUUGCUCAAAAGAUAAACAACAGCAACAAAAAACUCAGCUAGCCAGGAAAACCAUGUAGGUAAAACUUAGCGCCUGAAAGUGAUACAGUAUGAGCGUAUGCAACAUGUUUUUAAUUAAAAUCUCCAUCAUUAUUAUCCUCAUAUCAUCUCCCCCCCACCCGCCCCCGCCACUUGUAGGAAAAGGGCUGGGGGAGGCAAGGGAAGGGACCCAAGAGGUGGUAUAAUGGAGCCCAAGAAGAAGUGACUUGUCCAAGGUUCAACACCUCCCCAAGAGGAAAUAGCAAAGCCAGAAUUAGGCUCAGAUUUUCUGCCCACCCACCCAGAAACCUGCCUCACUCUAUCUCUAUAAGAACCUUUUGAAAGGUCAUCUACAGCAAAUCUACAGCAUUACCACCCAAGAUGGAUUUUCGAAUCGAGAAUCCGACCAUGGCUGGUGAGUGAUUUUUGGUAGUGUGACAGGCUGUGCCCAGCACAGAGCGUGGGUAAAUCCCAGGAUUGCUGCACUGGGAUGCUUUCUUGGAUUCAACUACCCCCCCUCCCCCCAACCUCUGGAAGAGAAAGGAUCCUGAUUUCCAAGGAUCUGAGUUCCAGGAGACAGGAGGCCCCGUGCAGGGGUCACACAGAAUAGUCCUCUUGUCUCUCAGUCAGCCAAGCCCAGCCAUACACCAUUGCUCUUUUCUUCUCAUUGCCAACCUUGUCCCCUUAUUUGCACCCUAAAAGGAAGAUGGGGGGCAGGGGAGGAUAUGUCUAACCCCUGAAUCUGUGCUUCGUCAACACUGGGCUUUUAUCCGGACCAGAGAAGAUGUGAUGCUAGGAAUAUUGUGGUGAUGUUGGAGCAGGGAGACAUUGAAUGGCUGGCUGACGUCACACUUAGCAGAGGGAAAGGUGAGAAAAAUCGUGGGUUUUCCAAGUGGCUGAUAGAUGGCAUUUGUACGUGAAAUAUACAUUUUCCUUUUAGAGAUCAGGCUUAGGGAACGAGAAAAUGGUUUAGGCAGCUGCCACGGCUGUAGCUUAAGACUGGUGGUUUCCAGCAUGGUUGGGGGCCUUCCCGUCUUGUCCCCAGAGUUGGAGGUAAUUGUCCCUUGCCUGACAGUUACUUGAAAGUUGACAGGGUACUGUCUAGUCCAUUACAGCAAUUUGUCCUCAUAUAUGGUUUUAUGAUCUAGACUAGCAUGAUUUUGAUAGGAGGCCCAGGGAGGAAGAGAAAAUUCAAGCAGUCAGUGCAGGAGACAUUUGGCUAGGUCAUGGGCUCUAAGGGGCACAGGAUAUAGGAUAUGCAAGCUUUCUAGAAAAUAGUACCUCUAGGGGUGUCUGGGUGUCUCAGUUGGGUAAACCUCCGACUUCAGCUCAGGUCAUGAUCUCACGGCUCAUGGGUUUAAGCCCCGCUUUGGGCUCUGUGCUGACAGCUCAGAGCCUGAAGCCUGCUUCCGAUUCUCUGUCUCCCCCUCUGUCCCUUCCCCACUCAUGCUCUGUCUCUCUCUGUCUCUCAAAAAUAAAUCAACGGUUUAAAAAAAAAUUAAAAAAAAAAAUGCCUUUAGAGAUACAAGGCAGGGCAGGGAGCAUAGCAGCCGGGGGGAGAACCAACUUUUCUUUCUCAGCCAUGGGCAAAAAUAAAAUUUCCAGAAAAUGGAACAGAAGGGAGAAGAAAGAUGUCUGUCAACUUGGUAUAGAAUAUCAGUAAUCCAGAGGACACGUAUGUGGGGGAAGCAUGGAGGAAGUGUCCUUUCUUAUGGUGGGAAGCUGGGGGAGGGGGUACGGGGAGAAGGGAGGGGAAGGAAUCCCACUUAGGGAGAAGAUGACUGAGCAGGUUCUGGAAAGGAUGCAGCAAAAGUGAUGACCAUGGCCUCCCCCGGGGCUGAGGCUGAAGCUUCUUAUUCGUUCAGCAUCCAGUGCCUUCCGAGAGGGAAACAGGGCCUGUGAGUGAGGGCCCUGUGGACCCCUGCUACCCGCAUCACUUUUCCUCAGGAGCUAGUUUGUUCUGUGCUGUCUGUAUCGCUGAGCAGCACCAUAAAAUCCCACAGGCUGGAAGAAGCAGCGGGAUUGUUUGGGGGUGAUGGCAGGGAACGAGGGCCAUGGGGAGACUGCAUCCUGCUCUGUGGUUAGUCUGAGGGUGGAGGUCCCAGAGAAGAGGUGGCUGGGUAGCUCAGACCUAAGGGGGAGGCAAGCUCCUUGAAUCCUUCUAGCGCCAGGGAAAGGACCAAGGAAGGACCAAGUGUUCACCUCCAUCGCCCUGACCACCGUGGGCAAGCGCCCACAUGAUGCGGCACAUUUGGGGGUCCCCUCAGCCCCGCCCUGUGCGAGGCACUUGUGGGAUGGGGAAAAGGAACCUCUCCUUUUGCAGGAGUGGACUUCCACAGGCCAGCCUUGACUGAAAUCUGGCAGGAGGCGGGGAAGGCCAGCUCUGUUGGAACAUGCUGGUGUGUGGCAGGCUCUUGAUAAGUCCCAGAGCGUUGCCAGCUUCUGGAGGAGGUUGUCAGGCUGUACGUGCAUCAGACACACCCCCCGCUGUGGCCUUUACCUCGCUGGUCUUGCCAUGUGUGUUGAUGGUGGUGAGGCAGCUGGGUCAAGGAUGCAAACCGUCCAGUUCCCAGUUGCCCGUUUAACUUAAUUCAGUUCUGUGACUCUUUUUGAGCACCUCCCAUGUGUCAGGCGCAACUCCACGCCUGUUUUGACCGUUGACUUCCAUCUCUGCUGCUACUCCAAAUGCUGGUCAUCUGCACCGCGUGGUGAGAACCCAGGUUUCCGUCAUAAAAAUUUCCCCUUCGCUUCCCACAUUCUUCGUGUCGAUUGCUUCUCUGAUUAAAAAAAAUAAUAAGCUAUGAACCUCCUUAUGGCGUCUGGCACCCUCAAAUAUUUGGAGAGUAAGUGCACGAAUGAACUCUGACUUAGGAACACAGGUUUUCCUGGCAAUUCGGUGGAACCCUCAGAGGGUCAGCAUAGUUUUCCAAAUUUUCCUCGGUCGCUGGAUCAAAGGGGUGGGUUUAUUUUGACCAGUCCCAUCGGCCACCCCCAGACAGCCGGGCUGUCCCCCACAGACGGCUCUACUCUGUUGCAGUCAGGUGGAUUUCGGGGACUCUGCGGCUGUCCGUACUUUCCCAGGCCUAUCUUUAUUGAUGGUGAUUAAAGGCACACCACCACAUGGCAAUAUGAAAGUACAAAGCAAUUCCCAGGGUAAGGUGCGUGGGAAGAAGUGAGAUACUGAGCUCCCAAACCAUUCUACUGUAAUCACGGUCUGCCAAAUCGAUGUAUAGUUAAUCAGUAAGAUUCAGGCAGGCAGGUUCCACCACCAGGCAGCAGAUAGAAAGGGGGAAGAGGCUGGGGGGGGGGGGCAGGGGGGGUGGAGAUCACUGUUCCUCCUGGAAAACUGGGAAAGAAAAUGAGAAGGAGGCCACCUGGGCAAGGAGAGUCUGGUGGGCUGUCCCACCCAGGAGGCCACAAACCGUCCCGAGGAGGGACCGCUGCUGACCUCUUCUCUGGCCCUCAUGCUCUGUUCAUGCCAGCCCCUCGUGGAAGAUUCUGGGUGACCCAGAAAGAUGGAGUGACUGUGCGCAGACACACUGGGUUACAUAAGUAUAAAUACGGUGCACAAAAACACCAGUCUUUAUAGAGCACCCCAACACACCUGUUGUUUUACGAUGCUGAUGGUAUUGAUAAAGGGGGCUAUAAAGUUGAGGGUGAAAUGACCUCUUAUAUUUAAAUAGCAGCUUCCUCUGUGAACUUCAAGUGUUUUACAGCUGAGACUCGACUGCCCUGGUGAUAAUUUCUGUUAGGAAUGUGGAACGCAUAUCUCUCUAUAUGUUCAGGGAAAACUAUAGCAGUGUUGGUUACGAAGCAAAGGCUCUGGAGCCCGGCUGCCUGGGUUCGUGUUCCAGCUUGUUCGCUUUCUAGCUACGUGCCAUAGCUAUUCUGUACCUCAAUUUACUUACCGGUUAAAUGGGGAGAUCGCCAGUGCUUAUAGGAUUGUUGUGAGGACAAGGUAUAUAACGUGCCUAGAACAGUGCCUGACGUAUUACAAAUACAGUGUAAGUUUUCAGCUGUUUUGUCACUGCUCUCUACGUGUCUUUGGCAUAUAAGAUAGGUAGCCUCCUUUCUCUGCAAAAAUUCACAAGGUGUUAAGAUUUCAAAGAAAUGGAUGGACCACCACUGUCGUAAAUGGGUCCAUGCGUAUUUGACAAAGCCAAAGGCUUCAGCCAGUCUUUUAUGAAUCACAGGCUGUGGAACCAGGAGAAACCUGAAAAAACUAUCUGGCUCCUUCUCCUUUGCCAGGGAAGUGGGUCUCUAUCACCCGUGUACUAUGGUUAUGGCUCUACGGGCUGUAGACUCUUGGGUAGGUCUGCUUUGCAUUAGUGAACUGAGCCUCAGGCCCACAGGAGGGAGAGUUCUGGAGGCAGGUAAGGGCAUCGGUGUGGGCCUGGCAUACAGGAUGUGUGGGCUCCCCCCUCUUCCUCGGGCCCAGCUGGCCCCAGCCCCUGCCCUCCAGGCAGGAACGGGAAGGGCUGGAAGGGACACUUCAUCCACAGGGGCAGACGUGGGCAGGCCCUCCCCGGAUCUGGUCACACUUACAUGCGUUACAGUUGGUGGCAAGAUGCAUGUCUGAGGCCUGCUUCAGUGGGUUCUUGUAGAAGACCUUAGAGUUUAUGGUCCCGACUGGGUCACUUUUGAGAGUGAAAGGUCGUGCUGGUAACAGUCAUGGCAGGACGCCUGGCAUAACCCGGGACUCGUGGCCAUCCUAGUUCUGUGGUGACACAUGCUCCAUUGUUUAUCUGUCUCUUCAGCUGUCUUUUUAUCAGAGAUGCUUCCUAAGAAGAAAUUUUAUUUAAAAAAAAUUUUAUUUUAUUAUGUUUGUUUAGUAUGUCUGUUUUUUUUUGUUGUUUUUUUUUUGUUUUUUUUUUGUUUUUUUUUUUUUGAGAGAGAGCACCAGAGGAUCAGAAGUGGGCUUUGUGCUGACAGCAGUGAGCCUGAUGUCGGACUUGAACUCAGGACCGCGAGAUCGUGACCUGAGCCGAAGUCGGACGCUCAACCGACUGAGCCACCCAGAGGCUCCUUUAAAAAUUUUUUUUAAUUAAGGGGCGCCUGGGUGGCUCAGUCGGUUGAGCAUCCGGCUUCGGCUCAGGUCACGAUCUUGUGGUUCGUGAGUUCGAGCCCCGUGUCGGGCUCUGUGCUGACAGCUCAGAGCCUGGAGCCUGCUUCAGGUUCUGUGUCCCCCUCUUUCUCCGCCCCACCCCUGCUUGUGCUCUGUCUCUCUCUUUCAAAAAUGAAUCAACAUAAAAAAAAUUUUUUUUUAAUUUUUUAAUUAAAAAAAAUUUUUUUAAGUUUAUUUAUUUUGUGAGAGAGAACACGCACGUGAGCAGAGGAGGGACAGAGAGAGAGGAGGGGGAGAGAGAAUCCCAAGCACACCCCGCACCACCAGUACGGAGCCAGAUGCGGGGCUCGAUCCCAUGAACUGCAAGAUCAUGACCCCAGCCAAAAUCAAGAGUCAGAUGCUCAAAUGACUGAGUCACCCAGAAGAAAUAUUAUUUUUAACUCACUAAUGUUUUAGCACUUCUAUGCCUAUGGAAGGUGAUGCCUUCGAUCUACCAAUGAGGCCGCUGCUGAACCUAGAGAGCCUUAGUGUAUACAGGAGAAGGGAGGGACAGAGGGAAGCCCCACAAUGGUUGGAUGGUUGCUUAAGGUAUGUUUGACAGGACUUGUUUCUUCUCUCAUAGAGCAGAUGGGCCUGGAGCUUCCCCACCUUCUGGUUUGCACUAGGUUGUGUGCUAAUAUGGCAAUGCGACCAGGGGACUUUGCACCUGCCAAGCAUGGCCGAGAACAUCCAUCUCCCUUGGACAUGUGAAUGCAAAGAAAGCAAGUGCUGUAAUCUGAAAUCCAGGCCAUUGUUUAAUGGCAGAAGGAAGACCCCAAAGGAAGGAGCUUUUUCCCACCCCAAACACUCGCCCCUUUGGUCUUGAAUUUGACCGUGUUCUUUUAUGGAAAACAACAACAAAACAAAACAAAAACACACAAAACUUUUUUUCUGAAUAGCUCAAAGUCAAGGUUUGCUGUUUGUUAUUUCCUUAAAAAAAUUCAAGAAAGAAAAGAAAAUUGGGUCCCUAGCCUGAAUGUUCUCCUAUGUGCCUAUUUAAUGAUUAAUAACACCUUGUGGGCUAUUGUUUGAUGUGGCCUCUGCUGGUUUGAACAGGAGAAUACUGAUUCACUCUCAAGGCAUUUAUGAAUCACAAGUGUUUACCCUGAGACAAUAAAUGAAAGGGGGAGAUUGAAAAAAAAAACACCCAAAUAUGCUGAGUUCUUUGAGCAAAAACUGGAGGUAAUAGUCUUUGAUACCCUGUGUGGGGCCCACUGUUUUCUUUCACAGAAUAAAGAUGGUGUAGAAUGACCAAGAGGGCGCUUUUGAGUUUUAUACAUUUUUUUUUUCACUUACUGAUAGGGUUGAGGCAACUUUCCCCCUUAUUUUCUUCCUUCCUUCCUUCCUUCCUCCCUUCUUUCUGCCCCCAAAUCUAGGGUCCAGUGAAAACAGACUGUUAAAUUUGCCCCUGAUGACCCUUUAAAUUUUUUUUAAUUUUGAAAUGAUUUUUUUUUUUUUACGUGUUUAG
This 8556-nucleotide long non-coding RNA is filed under the name Lynx pardinus (Iberian lynx). Lineage: Eukaryota; Metazoa; Chordata; Mammalia; Carnivora; Felidae. The record is from RNAcentral.